GAUGAACGCUGGCGGCGUGCCUAAUACAUGCAAGUCGAACGGAAGGACGAGAAGCUUUCUUCUCUUAGGUUGGCGUCGGGCGGAGGAGUAACACGUACAUCGCCAGCGUAUAAUACUUGGAUAAGUUCGUAGAACCGGAUCUAGUACCUAAUUAUAGUUUGGACCGCAUGGUUCAAAAUUGAGUGGCACUCUUCCUGUCACUGGUAGGUGAUGCCGCGCUGGAUUAUCUAGUUGUUGAGGUAACGGCUUACCAACACGACGAUGCAUAGACGACCGGAGGGGGUGAUCGGCCACACUGGCACUGAGACACGGUCCAGACUCCUACGGGAGGCAGCAGUAGGGAAUCUUAGGAAAUGGGCGAAAGCCUGAUGCAGAAACGCCGAGUGCGUGAUGAAGGUCUUCGGCUUGUAAAACUCUGUUCUUAGGGAAGACCAUAAGUGGACGUAACUGUACAGGUGUUGACGGUACCUAAUGAAGAAGCACCGGCUAACUACGUG
This 497-nucleotide ribosomal RNA is filed under the name uncultured bacterium. RNAcentral describes it as "partial 16S ribosomal RNA". It matches the Rfam family "Bacterial small subunit ribosomal RNA", at positions 28 to 507 of the family's 1533-position model. The record is from RNAcentral.